UGACUGCUCUAAUGUGCAGUUGUUUUCUGAUUCAGAUGAUUGAGGAGCUUGGUGGUUCUCUCACUGCUGAUGGGAGUACAAGCACUCAUGUCAUUACAGGAAAUUUGCGGAAAACUCUAAAUUUUUGUAUUGCUCUCUUUUCAGGAGCUUGGAUUUUCUCCUCCAGUUGGUUAAAGGAAACCUAACGGGAAGGCAGAUUUGUUGACGAGUUGCCUUACAUACUAAAUGAUGAUGACUACAUAUCGAAGUAUCGAGCCAGCCUAAAAGCUGCAGUUCUCAGGGCAAAAGCAUGUUCUUGAGCUUUAUUUGAAGGGUAUGAUGUUUGCAUAUCAGCUCACGCUCAACCACCACCUAAAACUCUAUCCCUGAUAGUCAAGUCAACCGGUGGAAAUGUGAUUCAUGAGCUAGAUAAAGUAAACAACGUAUGGAAGACGAUCUUUGUGGCUUGUGAGGAAGACGUGGAGGAAGCCUUGGUGGCCGUACAAAAAGGGAUAUGGACUUUCAACGUUGAAUGGCUAAUGGCAUGUAUAAUGAGACCAGAAGUUGACCUGGAGGCCCCUCAAUUUGCUGAGUCCCUAUGAGAAACAAGGUCACCCUAACUUUCAGUUUUGAACAAGCAGCAGCCAGCCAUUUCGUCCUUGUGUAAAUCCACUCUUUUCUCAACUCACUCUAAUUUGGUACAUAAACAAACUCUGAUCGCUCCAUCUCUAUAUUCAUCAGUACAUAAAAGACGAUAAGUUUAUUCAUGGAGAAAGUUGGAUGUAAGUAUGUUUUAGGAAUGGUCCUUCAUUUAGUAACUUUGGGAAUUGUAAAAAUGAGGUAAUGAAGUUCUAUCAAGUUGAAUGUUCUUGUUUAUGUUGGAUGAGACUGAUUCUUGGAUACCAGAAUUAACUUGAAGUACGUGUUUGAGUU
Long non-coding RNA from Cucumis sativus (cucumber), 912 nucleotides. RefSeq lists it as uncharacterized. NCBI's taxonomy places the organism in Eukaryota, Viridiplantae, Streptophyta, Magnoliopsida, Cucurbitales, Cucurbitaceae. The transcript is spliced from 4 exons. The record is from RefSeq and is a predicted model, not a curated record.